Molecule: long non-coding RNA, 1136 nt
Filed under: Coffea arabica (coffee)
Lineage: Eukaryota; Viridiplantae; Streptophyta; Magnoliopsida; Gentianales; Rubiaceae
Description: long non-coding RNA (CARA_LNC008217)
Source: RNAcentral
ACAGGGGAGAUUGACCAAAUCCAUCCAAAAGGUAAGUAUAUGCUGCGCAGUCUGCAUUGCAAUGGCAUCCUUUUCCUCUAGCCUUGACAUUUGCACAGUUAGUAAAUAGGCAUCGUUCUACAUCUCCAAAAUGACCUCUAGGAGAAGUUACAACAUCAAUGACUUCAAGAUCCUCGAGAAACUUCCUUUCAGAAUUUGAACAUGACAAACAAACAUCACAAGAAGAAACAAUUACAACACCAAGAUGCAUAAUCCAGUUCUUCUUUCACCGACUCAACUCCUCGUAAAAAACUAGAAAAAUUGUGCUUCAAUAAAAGUAACACACAACACAAGUCUUUGAACAUCACAAACAAACAUCACCAGAAGAAACAAUUAUAACACCAAGAUGCAUAAUCCAGUUCUUCUUUCACCAACUCAACUCCUCGUAAAAAAAUAGAAAAAUUGUGCUUCAAUAAAGGUAACACACAACACAAGUCUUUGAACAUCACAAACAAACAUCACCAGAAGAAACAAUUAUAACACCAAGAUGCAUAAUCCAGUUCUUCUUUCACCAACUCAACUCCUCGUAAAAAAAUAGAAAAAUUGUGCUUCAAUAAAAGUAACACGCAACACAAGUCUUUGAACAUCACAAACAAACAUCACCAGAAGAAACAAUUAUAACACCAAGAUGCAUAAUCCAGUUCUUCUUUCACCGACUCAACUCCUCAUAAAAAACUAGAAAAAUUGUGCCUCAAUAAAGGUAGCACACAACGCAAGUCUUUGACAUUGACAGUUCCAUGUAAUAGCCACAGCAAUUACCGAGAAAACAGUACAUGGGCUAAGAUAUUCAAAGUUUAAGCCGAUAACCUGAAGAAAGCUUUCUGGACUGAAGUUCCUAUGUCACCAGCUGCAUAUGCUUCAUGCUUACACACUUGUUGAUGGAGAUACUUGGCACAGAACUUAGCAACAACUUUACCUGAAAUAUGGUAAUCAUACUAGAAGUUCCAUAAAUCUAAUUCCCUGUUUUUCCCCCUUCAAUUACAGUUUACUUAAUAUAGUCAGGCACUAGCAUAUAGUGUCAUCUACUUAAUUAGUAGCAUCAGAUGUCAAAGCUUUCGACUAAAAACCAAUUUCAGAAUCCUAGGAAGCUGAAAGCU